RNAcentral lists this ribosomal RNA (245 nucleotides) under uncultured Lactobacillus sp. RNAcentral describes it as "partial 16S ribosomal RNA". It matches the Rfam family "Bacterial small subunit ribosomal RNA", at positions 118 to 355 of the family's 1533-position model. Lineage: Bacteria; Bacillati; Bacillota; Bacilli; Lactobacillales; Lactobacillaceae. The record is from RNAcentral.
UGGGGAACCUGCCCCAUAGUCUGGGAUACCACUUGGAAACAGGUGCUAAUACCGGAUAAGAAAGCGGAUCGCAUGAUCAGCUUUUAGAAGGCGGCGUAAGCUGUCGCUAUGGGAUGGCCCCGCGGUGCAUUAGCUAGUUGGUAAGGUAAAGGCUUACCAAGGCGAUGAUGCAUAGCCGAGUUGAGAGACUGAUCGGCCACAUUGGGACUGAGACACGGCCCAAACUCCUACGGGAGGCAGCAGUA